RNAcentral lists this ribosomal RNA (494 nucleotides) under uncultured bacterium. RNAcentral describes it as "partial 16S ribosomal RNA". It matches the Rfam family "Bacterial small subunit ribosomal RNA", at positions 29 to 507 of the family's 1533-position model. The record is from RNAcentral.
ACGCACGCUGGCGGCGUGCCUCAUACAUGCAAGUAGAACGCUGAAGGAGGAGCUUGCUUCUCUGGAUGAGUUGCGAACGGGUGAGUAACGCGUAGGUAACCUGCCUGGUAGCGGGGGAUAACUAUUGGAAACGAUAGCUAAUACCGCAUAAUAGUAGAUGUCGCAUGACAUUUGCUUAAAAGGUGCAAUUGCAUCACUACCAGAUGGACCUGCGUUGUAUUAGCUAGUUGGUGAGGUAACGGCUCACCAAGGCAACGAUACAUAGCCGACCUGAGAGGGUGAUCGGCCACACUGGGACUGAGACACGGCCCAGACUCCUACGGGAGGCAGCAGUAGGGAAUCUUCGGCAAUGGACGGAAGUCUGACCGAGCAACGCCGCGUGAGUGAAGAAGGGUUUCGGAUCGUAAAGCUCUGUUGUAAGAGAAGAACGAGUGUGAGAGUGGAAAGUUCACACUGUGACGGUAGCUUACCAGAAAGGGACGGCUAACUACGUG